AGUGAACGCUGGCGGUAGGCCUAACACAUGCAAGUCGAACGGCAGCACAGUAAGAGCUUGCUCUUACGGGUGGCGAGUGGCGGACGGGUGAGGAAUACAUCGGAAUCUACUUUUUCGUGGGGGAUAACGUAGGGAAACUUACGCUAAUACCGCAUACGACCUACGGGUGAAAGCAGGGGAUCUUCGGACCUUGCGCGAUUGAAUGAGCCGAUGUCGGAUUAGCUAGUUGGCGGGGUAAAGGCCCACCAAGGCGACGAUCCGUAGCUGGUCUGAGAGGUUGAUCAGCCACACUGGAACUGAGACACGGUCCAGACUCCUACGGGAGGCGGCAGUGGGGAAUAUUGGACAAUGGGGGCAAGCCUGAUCCAGCCAUACCGCGUGGGUGAAGAAGGCCUUCGGGUUGUAAAGCCCUUUUGUUGGGAAAGAAAAGCGGCAGGUUAAUACCCCGCUGUUCUGACGGUACCCAAAGAAUAAGCACCGGCUAACUUCGUG
RNAcentral lists this ribosomal RNA (492 nucleotides) under uncultured bacterium. RNAcentral describes it as "partial 16S ribosomal RNA". It matches the Rfam family "Bacterial small subunit ribosomal RNA", at positions 29 to 507 of the family's 1533-position model. The record is from RNAcentral.